UUGAAUUCAUAUGAUUUGCCGUCGACAUUAUUUAGAAAACUACUUAAUGUAAGCUGACUUCGUAGUUAUUCAGAGGGGGAUGUAACCGGAAUGACGAAACAGCCCAUGUGGUCUGAUACGCGCGCUGGCGCAGCAAUGCAUUUGUGCGGCCUUUUUGCUGUUAUCGCCUUGGCGUGGAGCACAGAUCUCACAAUUGUCGCUCUAGAAAGUCUCCGGAGUUUCACAAGCAGCUUACUGUUCGAGCUAUAUUUUCUCGACAGGACUCGUUCAGCCAGCCUGCCAUUGCAGGGCGCUGAGUGACUGCUGUUGCGGAGCGAGUAUUUACAGGCGCUUGAGUUCUUCCCCCGUGGGCUGCACCGCUCUUUGCAUAAUACUCUACCAGUGACUUGUAGUCUGGGGUCUUUUAUUGCAUCUUUAAUUGGACCUUUUAUCGAGUUGGAGAAAUAAAUCAGCAUUGAUUCCAAGUCUACUCUACUCUUGUGAGUUCUUUAUCCUCAAAACUGAGGGUCUUGCCUGGACCCUGAUUCCAGAGU
Patiria miniata (bat star) is the source of this 533-nucleotide long non-coding RNA. RefSeq lists it as uncharacterized. The record is from RefSeq and is a predicted model, not a curated record. The transcript has 3 exons. Lineage: Eukaryota; Metazoa; Echinodermata; Asteroidea; Valvatida; Asterinidae.